Molecule: ribosomal RNA, 486 nt
Filed under: uncultured bacterium
Lineage: Bacteria
Description: partial 16S ribosomal RNA
Rfam family: Bacterial small subunit ribosomal RNA
Source: RNAcentral
GAUGAACGCUGGCGGCGUGCCUAAUACAUGCAAGUCGAACGCUGGAACUCUAGCUUGCUAGAUUGAAGGAGUGGCGAACGGGUGAGUAAUACAUAAGCAACCUACCCACGAAGACUGGGAUAAUCUCUGGAAACGGGGACUAAUACCGGAUAGGUAAUCGGAAGGCAUCUUCUGAUUAUUAAAUGUUAAAAACACUGGUGGAUGGGCUGAUGGCGCAUUAGUUAGUUGGUGAGGUAACGGCCCACCAAGACGAUGAGUCGUAUGCGGCCUGGGAGGGUGGACGGCCACAUUGGGACUGAGACACGGCCCAGACUCCUACGGGAGGCAGCAGUAGGGAAGGUUGGGCAAUGGGGGAAAGCCUGACCGAGCAACGCCGCGUGAGUGAUGACGGCGUUCGGGUUGUAAAGCUCUGUUGUAAGGGAAGAACGGUAGAUAGAGAAUAUCUAAAUGACGGUACCUUACCAGAAAGCCACGGCUAACUACGUG